This 253-nucleotide ribosomal RNA is filed under the name uncultured bacterium. Its description in RNAcentral is "partial 16S ribosomal RNA". It matches the Rfam family "Bacterial small subunit ribosomal RNA", at positions 524 to 776 of the family's 1533-position model. The record is from RNAcentral.
GACGGAGGGGGCAAGCGUUGUCCGGAGUUACUGGGCGUAAAGCGCACGUAGGCGGCCUUGUGCGUCGGUUCUGAAAGCGCCGGGCUUAACCCGGCGAGGCGUGCCGAUACGACGAGGCUCGAGGCAGGCAGAGGGUGGCGGAAUUCCGGGUGUAGUGGUGAAAUGCGUAGAGAUCCGGAGGAACGCCGGUGGUGAAGACGGCCACCUGGGCCUGACCUGACGCUGAGGUGCGAAAGCGUGGGGAGCGAACCGG